UCUGCCUUAUAGGCCAGCGGUCUCACUAGAGUCCCCAACUUAAUGCUGGUAACUAGUGACGAGGGUUGCGCUCGUUGCGGGACUUAACCCAACAUCUCACAACACGAGCUGACGACAGCCAUGCAGCACCUGUCUCGGCGUCCCCGAAGGGAACCCCCGCUUUCACGGGGUGGCACCGGAUGUCAAACCUAGGUAAGGUUUUUCGCGUAGCAUCGAAUUAAACCACAUGCUCCACCGCUUGUGCGGGCCCCCGUCAAUUCCUUUGAGUUUUAAUCUUGCGACCGUAAUUCCCAGGCGGAUUACUUAAUGCGUUAGCUGCGUCACCAAGACAAUUAGGUAUCCUGACAACUAGUAAUCAUCGUUUAGGGCGUGGACUAC
RNAcentral lists this unclassified non-coding RNA (378 nucleotides) under uncultured delta proteobacterium. RNAcentral's name for it is "contains 16S-23S intergenic spacer region". The record is from RNAcentral. Lineage: Bacteria; Deltaproteobacteria.